GAAAUGCGAUAAGUAAUGUGAAUUGCAGAAUUCAGUGAAUCAUCGAAUCUUUGAACGCAUAUUGCGCCCUUUGGCAUUCCUUAGGGCAUGCCUGCUCGAGCGUCACAGAAAACCCCAUCACAGUUCCUGUGGUCUUGGUAUGAGUGGGUUGAUAGCAUGUGGAGACAUGCUUAUAACACUCUACUGAAAUUUAUAGACAGGAUACCAGAUAUGGGCAAUAGACUUUGUAAAUGUCCACAGGAUAUAUAUCAGUCAUGUGUCAUGUUUGGUCCUGAUAUUAUGGACUCCUAUUCAAUACAAACAUUGGGUUGACCUCGAAUCAGGUAGGGAUACCCGCUGAACUUAA
RNAcentral lists this unclassified non-coding RNA (346 nucleotides) under uncultured Tuber. RNAcentral's name for it is "sequence contains ITS1". The stretch from base 1 to 105 matches the Rfam family "5.8S ribosomal RNA", at positions 50 to 154 of the family's 154-position model. Lineage: Eukaryota; Fungi; Ascomycota; Pezizomycetes; Pezizales; Tuberaceae. The record is from RNAcentral.